RNAcentral lists this long non-coding RNA (1572 nucleotides) under Triticum aestivum (bread wheat). RNAcentral's name for it is "long non-coding RNA (TAES_LNC009569)". Lineage: Eukaryota; Viridiplantae; Streptophyta; Magnoliopsida; Poales; Poaceae. The record is from RNAcentral.
UUAUGCCCGUUUCAAAAUGCGGUCAAAACGGCGGGCUUGACCGCUCCUAGCUAGUGGUUGAAUCUUGGAAUUUUUUUGGUGUUUCUAUGAUUAAAUAGAUACUUAUGUACCUAGAAAUGAUUUUUGGAAAAAAUAAAGAGCAAACUAUGAGGCAGCUACAGUUCAAAUUUGACCCGUUUCCAACUGAAUUGACGGCAAUUUGUCUUUUUCACCAGAGGUAGAUCAAAACUUUUUUCACCCAACCAUUUUGUCAAUUAUGCAUUAUAUAUGGCCUAGUAUUUUAUAAAAAUGAUUUGGUCCAAUUUUGCAACAAUUAUUUGGUAGUUCCUUCAGAAAAAACCCUCCUUUUGGGCACUCGGAAAAUGAAAAAUGAAUUUUCCGUGCAAAGAAAAUGAAAACUUCCUUAGGCAACAUUGAUUGGAAUUCCAAGAUGCACCCUCGUGCACAAUAUGAGAUCAUUUGAACAAACUAUGCCAUGAAUGUGGCCAUAAGAUUGAUCAUUUGGCUUGAAAGCCAUGAAUCUUCACGCAUGAUAGCUCAUUUCUGAGAACACUUUUUUAAAAUAAUUGCCGUAUUACAAGUUUGUUAUUUUUCCUGGGAACUUGGACACAUAUAAUGACACAAUGCGAAGGUUUCCCAAUUUUUUGAUUUUUUUUGAGUUUUUUAUGCCCGUUUCAAAAUGCGGUCAAAACGGCGGGAAUCACCGUUCCUAGCUAGUGGUUGAAUCUUGGAAUUUUUUUGUGUUUCUAUGAUUAAAUAGAUACUUAUGUACCUAGAAAUGAUUUUUGGAAAAAAUAAAGAGCAAACUAUGAGGCAGCUGCAGUUCAAAUUUGACCCGCUUCCAUCUUAAUCGGCGGGAAUUUGUCUUUUUCACCAGAGGUGGAUCAAAAAAUUUGUCACCCAACCAUUUUGUCAAUUGUGCAUUAAAUAUGGCCUAGUAUUUUAGAAAAUUGAUUUGGUCCAAUUUUGCAACAAAUAUAUGGUAGGUCCUUAAAAAACUCAUUUCAGGCACUCGGAAAAUGGAAAAUGGUUUUUUCGUCCAAAGAAAAUGAAAACUUCCUUAGGAAACAUUGUUUGCCAUUCCAAUAUGCACCCUUGUGCACAAUAUGAGAUCAUUUGAACAAACUAUGCCAUGAAUGUGGCCAUAAGAUUGAUCGUUUGACUUGAAAGCCGUGAAUCUUCACACUUGAUAGCUCAUUUCUGAGAACACUUUUUUAAAAUAAUUGCCGUAUUACAAGUUUGUUAUUUUUCCUAGGAACUUGGCCACAUAUAAUGACACAAUGCGAAGGUUUUCCAAUUUUUUGAUUUUUUUGAAUUUCUUAUGCUCGUUUCAAAAUGCGGUCAAAACGGCGGGCUUGACCGCUCCUAGCUAGUGGUUGAAUCUUGGAAUUUUUUUUGGUGUUUAUAUUAUUAAAUAGAUACUUAUGUACCUAGAAAUGAUUUUUGGAAAAAAUAAAGAGCAAACUAUGAGGCAGCUACAGUUCAAAUUUGACCCGUUUCCAGCUGAAUCAACGGCAAUUUGUCUUUUUCACCAGAGGUAGAUCAAAACUUUUUUCACCCAACCAUUUUGUC